UUUUUUUGUUUUUGUAUAUUUGCUUUGUUUGGUUCUUACACAUAAUGAAUAUUCAAGAAAUUCAUUCCAUUAAUAAAUAUGUGGCACAUACUAUUAGCCAUGGAUUUUUCUAGGUAUAUCAGAAAAUUCAUAUUUAUCUAUUUAUUUAUUUUUAAAGAUUUUAUUUAUUUAUUCAUGAGAGACACACAGAGAGAGGCAGAGACACAGGCAGAGGGAUAAGCAAGCUCCCCACAGGAAGUCUGACAUGGGACUCGGUCCCAAGAACCUUAGAUCACGCUUUGAGCCAAAGGCAGACGUUCAACCACUGAACCACCCUCAAAAAACUCAUAUUUGACAAGAAAAGACAAAUAACCUUAAAAAAUGAUGCAAUAAACUGAUGGAGAUACUAUAGCAAAAUAUCAUUAGUAAUGAUAUUCUUUGUGUCUGGCACUCCCCUCAGUGGUUUGCAUGUGUUAAUUCACUUAGUCCUCACAGCAAUCCCAUAAAGUAUGAUUCUAGGAAAAGAAUACAAUGCAUCCUAAGGAAAAAUUAUUCCUUUGUUUAGCUAUAAUUUUUAAUGAGGCCUUUGGUUAUGUAAUGCAAGACCACAGGCCAAUCUGGGGUAAAGAGGACAAAACAAAGGUAGCGAAAGUGAAAGAUGAUGUAAAAGGUUGUGUUCUUUGGAGGUUGAUGUUUUGAUAACCAAUUUUGUUGUCUCCUGUGCAUGAGUUGGGGGGGACAGAAUACAUAGAUAUAUGGUAAAUGUCUUAAAAAUCAAUAAAAUCUUAGCCCAAAGACUAAUUCUCUAAGGGUGAUGUUUUAGACACUGGGAACAGGGAUGGAGAUAUUGGGGUAAGGGGUAAGGGAUCUUCAAAUCACCUCUUCAAAUCAGAGUGCCUAAGACAAUCAGCCUGCUUUACCUUUAAGGUGGUCCUCCUGUCAUUUUCCAAAACUAUGGAAAACAUUUCCUUCAUGUGGCACUUCAAGCAGAAAAUUAAGAAAGUUUGUCUUAAAAUCUGAAAUAGUUGUUGGAAAGUCAUAUUUUAAUACUAUUAAUACAUGGAAUAUUUCUUAGAUUCCCUAUCCUGAACUUAUUUCUCAACAGAUUCAUGACUGGUGUUUGAAUUAUUCACCUCUAUUUACACUGAGCAAUUAAUUCUCCCCAGUGUGAUCUGACCAUCUCUGAAAGGCUAUAUUAUCAGGCAAGAAAAAAAAUCCAUAAUAUUGGGCAGCUAAAAUGAUUUUGUAAUUAGCAUGACAUGGUUUUCUAUAAUGUCACAUUAACUCUGAGCAUGAAAAAAGACUGAAUAAUCGAGCUUGAUAUGUUAAGUAGACCCGUUUCCAGCACAUGUGAAGGAAACCAUGCAUUAUCCACCAUGUUGCAUAUAUCACAAUGCCUACUGUCAUCAGAAAUACAAGGCUAGGAAUCUUUGAAUAAUAGGAAUCCUAGGAAAUCACUAGUGUGGUAGAUUGUAGCGAUGUAGCGAUGGCCCCAGUUCUUCACUUCUCCCUCUAUCUACAUGUAAUUAGUAGUUCUACCCUUAAAGGAAGUAGAAUACAUUUCCUUCCCUCUGACUUAAGGUUUCGUCUCCGUGGGUUGCUUUGGUCAACAUAACAAAGCAGUGGUGAUAGUCACAUCAGGCUUAGACUAGGCAAUAAGAGGCCUUGUUUGGUUGUGCUUGUUUUCUUGACCUCUGCUGUCUCCAUGAGAAAAGCAUGCUCCACCUGCAGGUCCCAGGAGGAAGAUGAAAGACUUGUGGAUGAGAGCCACAGCAGGCAGCCAUGCUAACCAGGCUCCUUCUAGGUGAGGCAAAUCUAUCCCCUCUGCAGGCGCAGUGUGAGAAAUAAAUGUUUAUUGUUGAAAGCCAGGGACAGUUUGUGUUAUUAUGCAGCAAUACUGUGGCCAUGGUUGACUAAUACCAGGGGGCAUCUGUUUUUUGUUUCAAGAUGACUUCAAAUGCAAACUUGAAAGUCAGCAAAUAAUGAUAACUGAGUUUCACCUUGAACUGUACCAAAAAUUGGAUAACCAGAAACAAGGAAACCAGAAACAAAGACUAAGAAAAAUACAGGGCUCCUUGAAUUGGCUUUCAUUUCAAAGAUGAUAACAGAGAAGAAUCCAGUUCUCUCAGUGAAACUCAGGGACUACUGCUUGACACUUUUAAUUAAAAAGACAUUAAAAAAUUAACACAGAACUCUUCCCACUUUGCUCCAGGGCAGCUCAUGAAAGAUUGCCUCUUCGCUAUCAGAAUGCAUAAUAUCUAUGUCCAGGCCCAUCUGCUUCCCCUUCUACAGGAAAGAUUGUGAAUGUCAGUGCCUCCAGUGAGAAACUGUCCUGUCGAGGCUUAAUUUCCUCAGCACUGAUAACAUAAAAGCAAUCUGGCAGCAUAAAUUAGUGGAUGAUUCCAAAGCACACAUUUUUGAUCUUCUGCCAUAAGCCUGACAGAAAUCAUAACAGUCAAACUAUUUUUCACUACCAAGAACAGAAAGACCUAUUUGAAAAAGCGCACUCCUGUUUUAUCUUCUAAAAAAAAACACCUGUGAGAUGCUGGGGGGUGGGGGUGGGGGCGUAACUUCUAGGACGGUGCUUCUAAAACACUAAUCUCCAUACAAAUCACAGCCAGAGCAUGUUUAGAGUAGAUUCUGAUGCAGUAGGGAGUGGAGGGAGUUCCAAGAUGCUGAAUUCUAAAAAGCUCCUGUAGGCGGCUAAUGCUGCUGGUCCAGAUACCUCAAAGGGAUCGUUCUUCAUCCAUGAGCAAUCUCUGUGCGAUGAGGUUACCCUG
Molecule: long non-coding RNA, 2759 nt
Filed under: Canis lupus familiaris (dog)
Lineage: Eukaryota; Metazoa; Chordata; Mammalia; Carnivora; Canidae
Description: lncRNA (ENSCAFG00845005584.1)
Source: RNAcentral